CCUGCGGUGGUCAUCUUUCACCCGGUUGCUGUAAAAAAAAAUUCAUUCGCGAAACAUCCGGCAGCCUCGACGCUGCCCCUGACCUCUCCGAUGGCGCUCGAGCCGCGAUGGAUGGGAAAUUUCUGCCGCCGCCCGCGGCCGCCUGCGGACCUGCGCUCCGCUGCUGCCGCCUGCACGCGGACCUCCCCAAACCCUAGUCUCUUUUGUUCCCCCCGCACCUUCAUUGCUGCCGCCACUGCUUCCUUCACCAACGCCGGUCGCCGUCGAAAUUCGUCGUCUUCGGUGAUCCUCCCUUCGAUUCACCGCGGCUACACCUUCACCUUUCCCUCCUCGGCCUAUUUGAGCCCUCACCCGCUCGAUUUCUCGGCCGCACAGCGCUCCCGGCGACCACCUCCGCCCGCCGCCGCCAUCCACCGAGGAUAUCCUUGGCCUCAACGCCAACGGCGGGUCAGCGGCGAUGGGCAGAGCGGUCCAACACGCCCACGGGUGGGCCCUCCCCCAUGAGUGGCUUCUUUUUCAAGGCUUCGCCUCAAGAGCCGCAGACGCUGACCUCUCCUCACCGUGUGCCUCUACGGUCGUCGUUCGUCUUCUCAGCAUCACGGCCGCCGCAACUAGCGGGAGCAAGAAGCGGCAGCGGCCGAACCUCCACGUCAAGUUGGCCUCACGCUGCAUGAGACCCCGGCAAUGGGAAGAAGAGACGUCGCUGCCGCAGAAGCUCGCCAAGACGAACUCAUCUGACAACAAGAGUCCUCCCGCUCGGGCAACAUGUCCAGAUGGUGCUGUUUGUUCAUCACUUUGCUGGCCAAGGUGGCCAACUGACCAAUCAGGUACGGCCGUGCAUCUUCACUUUCUGAUUUCUUUGCCUCCGUGCGUCUAUGAAUUCCAUCCCAUGCUGCCUAGAAGUGCUUCGUCCAUGGAGGAUUUACACAAUGUGUUUGAUGGCUUGCUUUUGCAAUCGUUGCUUCGGGCCUUUGGCCAUAGAGGAUGCAAGAUAUGUGUUUGAUGGUUUGCCUCUGCAACACAGACCAAUUAACAAUGCGAAAUUAAGCUAACAAGGAGUCCUAUUUGAUGGGGGGAAAAAGGGACACAUCCAGGCUAUUUGUCUUCUCUAAGUUAAUGUUUCUUGCUCGAAUAUGGAUUUUAUUUUUAUUUUUGAAGCAAUAAUUUAAACAAGUUAAAAGUACCUUCGAUAUGAUGCUCCUUUGUUGGUCUCACAUAAAAAAAAAGUUCAGUGAAAAAGCACAUAUUUGACUGAUUGGUCUCCCAUUAAAAAAAAUUAAAAGAUUUUGUUAGAAUGCUAAAUCACAGUUAAUAUUUUCUCAUGUUCAGAACUAACCUUACGACUAAUUGGUAUAUGGACAUAUGCAGAUUGGUAUUUGCAGUUUCAGGUAUCUGUAAAACACAAUUGGUUGAAUAGAACCAUGCAAUACUCACCACACAAAAAAAAGGGAUGCAUAUUUCAACAAAAGUAUUUUUUUGAGCAACCAAAAGAAGUAUUUCAUAUUGUUCUUUUUUUUUGUUGAAAAUGCAUAAGUAUGGCAACAGAUAAAGGAAAAGGGUGGUAGCUAAUAAGCUCCUUCAGUUUGUGGUGGAGUGAUGCCUGCUGUUAAAAAAUCCUUAUUUAUGUCAAGCUAUGUUAAGCUAAUCACACAUUAGAAUUUAACUGUCGGCUCUGAUUUUAACUUUCUUAUUCGAUUACGGUGUCUGCAAGAUCCAGCGCUAUAGUUCCAGGUAAGCAAGAAAAACAUCCUAUUCCAAAGUUGUAAAUACAGUUAAGAACUAUAACUUUUUUCUUAUAUUUGAGAGUGAACAUGUUUCAUUAUCUUUAGCUUGAAAUACACAGAUAGUGAAGGCUUAUCAGCCAAUUGAAUUGCAACCUCUCCACACAGUGAAUUUAUAUAGUAUGAAGGGAUUGUGUUUUUUUAGAUUAAGGGACAACCCAGUCUUGAACAUUCACAGGUGAAUGUCUACGACCACAAAAAAAUAUAUCUGGCCAUAAAACCAAAAACUUACAUGAGUACUUAGACUCCAAACCUCCAAUCGAGGAACACAAAAGACAAGAAAGGAGAACAUAAAAAAGAAAACAAAAGACUAAACUUUGAACUUCUUCUAGAUCCUUCCUUUAACCUUGCUUUGGUCCUCAUGUCUUGUGAUCUAGAAACCGUACUGAGUCGAUCUCUACCACGCCCAUAGAUUAGACACUGCCAUUGCUCGAAGUUGACCAUGGUGUUGCAAACAAGGACUCCAAGACGACGCCUCAAGAGGAGAGCAACAUUACGAUGCUGCCGCCGCCCGAACCAGUGAGUCGGUUUUUCGGUUUUCACUUGAAUCUGUCCCUGCAGGUUGAGAUCCUUGUCGGGAUGGAUGACGCCCCCAACAGGGAGAACGAUGCCCUCGGACGUCGUCGUCAUCACCGCCAGCAGGAACACCGGCAAGGCUUUCGGCUGGAGAAUCUCAUCCACUGCAAGCACACAACCCGACACCUCCCGGAGCAGCGCCGCCCCAGCCUUCCCUCGCGAGAGCCGCGUUGCAGCAUCACGCCGUCCCUCGCCGUGCCGUUGCCGUAGCGUGGCUGAUGUUAUGGCCUGGCCCCCAACUGCACACGCACAACGCCGCCGGGAGCACGCAGGCUGCAUGUCAUCAGACACGCUCUGCACCUCGCCGGCCGAGCCGCAGAUCCUCACACCGACCGCCGAAAUGGGCCAUCUCCCCGCCAGAUCCACCCCUGGCCUUGCCGGAUCUGGCCGCCGAGGCCACAGAUCCGAGCGCCAGCGGCCGCAGACGGGCGCCGGUGGCCGGUGACGAAACGCGCCGCCGCCGGGGGAGCCCCUGCCCCGAGGAGCAGCAGGGAGAAGUCCCCGCCGCCACCAUCCUCUCGACUGCGUGGCGUUGCCGGCAGCUCGCUCCAGUGACGGCGAGAUGGCAAGGAGAGGGAGGAGGGGCUAGCGGCGGCGUAGGGCGGGUCGCCGCCCGUGUCGCCGAGACAGGGCGACGCGGGGGCCUUUCGUCUGCCUUUGGAACUUGGUACAUCAUGAAGGGAUUGUGUAAUGUAUCUAUAUGUUUUUUCAGUUUUUUUGCAGUGUGAUAAAUAAGAGCUUUGACGCCAGUCACAAUAGCAGUCGCAUGAAGUUUAUUCUAACUUUAGUAGAUAGGAAGAUAAAUUUAUUUGAACUUGAGUGCUUAGUAUUGCUUUGAAUGUUGAAUGAACAACGCAGGUGAGUGCAAACAAAUCAGAUAUGUUAUUUUGGUCACCUUGAAACUGCAGGCGGUAUGCACAUGGAUAGAUAUCAUUGACAUAGGGUCAGUGGACGCCCUCUGAAGGCUUUCAUACACAAUGACAUUGAUUCUUGUGGAGCGAAGACGAGGCCAUGUGGGAAGGUGAAGUUGAUGGAGGGAGGGUCAUGUGUGGAAGGAUCUCUCAUCGGUGGAGGCGUUCGUGGGGGGUGGCGCCCAGAAGUCCAGGACGUCUGCAUCAUCUACCUCGAGACCUUCUCCAGCAGCAACCCCUCUGCGGUACUGCUCCCUGCUUCCCUGCUGCCGUACUGAAGGAGAUGGAACUUCGAUUUGGGUUAUGCCUUGCUGGGGCUCUUUAGCAUGCUUGCUCUUUCUUGCUCGUGCUUGGCGCAGGUGACCAUCUGAUCUGCAAACACACUGUCCAUCUCCAGGGCGUCCUUCAGUGAAGAAGAAGAAGAAGUUGCUCAAAAAAGAAGAAGAAGAAGAAGAAGAAGAAGAAGAAGACUCAUUCGCUUCUAAACUGAUUCGAUCACGGACUUUUUCUAAACUGAUUUGAUGGAUCCCUUACUUCUUGCAAUUUUUUAUUAUACUACCUCCACAACUCUAUGAGUUAUAUACUCUAAAUUUUGUACAUCCAUAUCCAUAUGCAACAUUAAUAUAAUUUACACCUUGAUUGAUUGAA
Molecule: RNA transcript, 3916 nt
Organism: Panicum virgatum (switchgrass)
Lineage: Eukaryota; Viridiplantae; Streptophyta; Magnoliopsida; Poales; Poaceae
Exons: 3
Source: RefSeq, a predicted model, not a curated record